CGUCGCUGUUUCCGUUACUGGGCAUCUUCUGCUGCCAUCCUCGCGCCCGUCUACCAGGCUGCUCUUAGGAGCGCGUUGUCAUGCCGACUGAAGGACCGUCAGAGCUGCGUCAAGCUGACGGCAGUCUCAUCUCAGAUCAGCUGCUCACUUUCCCAGACCUUGAAAGUCCUUGAGAGUGCUGAUGGCCACUGAGUGAUAACGGUAAUGUUCUGCUGGGAAACUUUGGGCUCAUUCAUGUGGCUGCCAUGCAACAUCCCUCCCUGAUGGCAAUGAAACUCACCAUGCACCCUGACACUGCACAAAAUCUACGUGACAAAGAGCUCAAAGUGUUGAUCAGAUCGAGCAUCUUUGGGACUUCCUGGAACAACCCAUGGAGACGCCACCUGGCAACGGCUGGAACUCAAAGUGCCAUUUGUGUCCACUAGUGCACGAGUGUCAGACACCACCAGGCAUCCCACAAGUCCUGUGUCCAUGCCCAUCAGAAUAAAAGUUUAAAAACUGAAUUAGAAGAAAAUGAAGAAAAACUUCUGAAAACACGUGAAUGUCAAAAUCUAACAUCAUGAACCUUGAGUUUUAUUGUGAAAUCAGAGACCGGAGGUGCUGAUGUGACGUCACAGCGGCUGCCUUGACCAUGUGGAGCGCCUCACUGAGCUGGGUGUGGACUCUCUCUCUCCUGCUGUCUGUCUAUAUCUCUCUCUCCUCAGCUUCUGCACACCAACUCCGAUU
Acanthopagrus latus (yellowfin seabream) is the source of this 726-nucleotide long non-coding RNA. RefSeq lists it as uncharacterized. The record is from RefSeq and is a predicted model, not a curated record. NCBI's taxonomy places the organism in Eukaryota, Metazoa, Chordata, Actinopteri, Spariformes, Sparidae. The transcript is spliced from 3 exons.